GACGAACGCUGGCGGCGUGCCUAAUACAUGCAAGUUGAGCGAUGAAGCUUGGUGCUUGCACCAAUUUGAAGAGCAGCGAACGGGUGAGUAACGCGUGGGGAAUCUGCCUUUGAGCGGGGGACAACAUUUGGAAACGAAUGCUAAUACCGCAUAACAACUUUAAACAUAAGUUUUAAGUUUGAAAGAUGCAAUUGCAUCACUCAAAGAUGAUCCCGCGUUGUAUUAGCUAGUUGGUGAGGUAAAGGCUCACCAAGGCGAUGAUACAUAGCCGACCUGAGAGGGUGAUCGGCCACAUUGGGACUGAGACACGGCCCAAACUCCUACGGGAGGCAGCAGUAGGGAAUCUUCGGCAAUGGACGAAAGUCUGACCGAGCAACGCCGCGUGAGUGAAGAAGGUUGUCGGAUCGGAAAACUCUGUUGGUAGAGAAGGACGUUGGUGAGAGUGGAAAGCUCAUCAAGUGACGGUAACUACCCAGAAAGGGACGGCUAACUACGUG
This 497-nucleotide ribosomal RNA is filed under the name uncultured bacterium. RNAcentral describes it as "partial 16S ribosomal RNA". It matches the Rfam family "Bacterial small subunit ribosomal RNA", at positions 28 to 507 of the family's 1533-position model. The record is from RNAcentral.